GGGCCCGCACAAGCGGUGGAGCAUGUGGUUUAAUUCGAUGAUACGCGAGGAACCUUACCAGGGUUUAAAUGCAGAACGACAGGGGUGGAAACACCCCCUUCUUCGGACGGACUGCAAGGUGCUGCAUGGUUGUCGUCAGCUCGUGCUGUGAAGUGUCGGGUUAAGUCCCAUAACGAGCGCAACCCCCAUUUCUAGUUGCCAGCGGUUCGGCCGGGGACUCUAGAGAAACUGCCAGCGUAAGCUGUGAGGAAGGUGUGGAUGACGUCAAGUCCUCAUGGCCCUUACGGGUUGGCUACACACGUGCUACAAUGGUGGUGACAAUGGGUUAAUCCCAAAAAGCCAUCUCAGUUCGGAUUGGGGUCUGCAACUCGACCCCAUG
Molecule: ribosomal RNA, 379 nt
Filed under: uncultured bacterium
Lineage: Bacteria
Description: bacterial SSU rRNA
Rfam family: Bacterial small subunit ribosomal RNA
Source: RNAcentral